UGGGCAACCUGCCCCUAGCACUGGGAUAACCCCGGGGAAACCGGAGCUAAUACCAGAUAUGACCACGGACGGCAUCAUCUCGUGGUGGAAAGAUUUAUCGGCUAGGGAUGGGCCCGCGGCCUAUCAGCUAGUUGGUGAGGUAACGGCCCACCAAGGCGACGACGGGUAGCCGGCCUGAGAGGGCGACCGGCCACACUGGGACUGAGAUACGGCCCAGACUCCUACGGGAGCA
Molecule: ribosomal RNA, 232 nt
Filed under: uncultured bacterium
Lineage: Bacteria
Description: partial 16S ribosomal RNA
Rfam family: Bacterial small subunit ribosomal RNA
Source: RNAcentral